UACAGAGGGGGCAAGCGUUGUUCGGAAUUACUGGGCGUAAAGGGCGCGUAGGUGGCCUUCUAAGUUGAACGUGAAAUCCCUGGGCUCAACCCAGGAACUGCGUCCAAGACUGGGAGGCUUGAAUCCGGGAGAGGGAUGCGGAAUUCCAGGUGUAGCGGUGAAAUGCGUAGAUAUCGGAAGGAACACCAGUGGCGAAAGCGGCUUCCUGGUCCAGCAUCGACGUUCAGGCACGAAAGCGUGGGGAGCAAACAGG
RNAcentral lists this ribosomal RNA (253 nucleotides) under uncultured bacterium. Its description in RNAcentral is "partial 16S ribosomal RNA". It matches the Rfam family "Bacterial small subunit ribosomal RNA", at positions 524 to 776 of the family's 1533-position model. The record is from RNAcentral.